GACGAACGCUGGCGGCGUGCUUAACACAUGCAAGUCGUACGGUAAGGCCCUUUCGGGGGUCCACGAGUGGCGAACGGGUGAGUAACACGUGAGUAACCUGCCCACAACUUUGGGAUAACGCUAGGAAACUGGUGCUAAUACUGGAUAUGUGCUCCUGCUGCAUGGUGGGGGUUGGAAAGCUCCGGCGGUUGUGGAUGGACUCGCGGCCUAUCAGCUUGUUGGUGGGGUAGUGGCCUACCAAGGCGGCGACGGGUAGCCGGCCUGAGAGGGUGACCGGCCACAUUGGGACUGAGAUACGGCCCAGACUCCUACGGGAGGCAGAAGUGGGGAAUAUUGCACAAUGGGCGCAAGCCUGAUGCAGCAACGCCGCGUGCGGGAUGACGGCCUUCGGGUUGUAAACCGCUUUCAGCAGGGACGAAGCUUUUUGUGACGGUACCUGCAGAAGAAGCACCGGCUAACUACGUG
RNAcentral lists this ribosomal RNA (465 nucleotides) under uncultured bacterium. RNAcentral describes it as "partial 16S ribosomal RNA". It matches the Rfam family "Bacterial small subunit ribosomal RNA", at positions 28 to 507 of the family's 1533-position model. The record is from RNAcentral.